UCUUUCAAUAAAAUACAAUCACAAGUACAAAACCAAAAAGCAUGCUUUUUGCUCCUCCCCUGUAUUGCCAGAACCAUUCUCAGCAUGCUUUUUGGUUUUGUACUUGUGAUUGUAUUUUAUU
This is a non-coding RNA of Pelobates cultripes (western spadefoot toad), 121 nucleotides long. Lineage: Eukaryota; Metazoa; Chordata; Amphibia; Anura; Pelobatidae. The record is from the annotation of a GenBank genome assembly.